CCACUGCUAUCGGGGUCCGAUUAAGCCAUGCGAGUCGAGAGGGGUAAAGCCCUCGGCGAACGGCUCAGUAACACGUGGAUAACCUACCCUCAGAUCUGGGAUAACUCCGGGAAACUGGAGAUAAUACCGGAUAAUCCGUGAACGCUGGAGUGCCUCACGGUUGAAAGCUUUAGCGUCUGAGGAUGGGUCUGCGGCCGAUUAGGUAGUUGCUGGGGUAACGUCCCAACAAGCCAAUAAUCGGUACGGGUUGUGAGAGCAAGAGCCCGGAGAUGGAUUCUGAGACACGAAUCCAGGCCCUACGGGGCGCAGCAGGCGCGAAAACUUUACACUGCGCGAAAGCGCGAUAAGGGGACCUCGAGUGCGUGCGCAAUGCGUACGCUUUUCAGAUGCCUAAAAAGCAUGUGGAAUAAGGGCCGGGCAAGACCGGUGCCAGCCGCCGCGGUAACACCGGCGGCUCAAGUGGUGGCCGCUAUUAUUGGGCUUAAAGGGUCCGUAGCCGGACCAGUUAGUCCCUUGGGAAAUCUUACGGCUUAACCGUAAGGCUGCCAAUGGAUACUGCUGGUCUUGGGACCGGGAGAGGUAAGAGGUACUUCAGGGGUAGGAGUGAGAUCCUGUAAUCCUUGAGGGACCGCCAGUGGCGAAGCGUCUUACUAGAACGGGUCCGACGGUGAGGGACGAAAGCUAGGGGCACGAACCGGAUUAGAUACCCGGGUAGUCCUAGCCGUAAACGAUGCGAGCUAGGUGUCACGUGGAUUGCGAAUCCAUGUG
Molecule: ribosomal RNA, 768 nt
Filed under: uncultured archaeon
Lineage: Archaea
Description: bacterial SSU rRNA
Rfam family: Archaeal small subunit ribosomal RNA
Source: RNAcentral